AAAUAAAAAAAAAAAAAAAAAGGGAAAGCCUUGUUAAUGAGUAAAAGAGGUUCGGCCGAAGGCCUUUGAAGAAUGAAAAGCCUCGUCUUUUCUUGUUUCUCUAGUCUGCGUUUUUCAUAUAUUUUACUUUUAAUUUUUGUGGGAUUUUAAUUUUUAUUUCAAUUUUAAUUCCCCCUUUCAUUUAUCUCUAGAAAUGGGAUCUUCGCUAUACUUCUGCUUUCAUCAAGUGGAACUUGACGAAAACUACAGGUUACAGUUAUUUUCCCCCGAUUACUAAAUGCAAAGAAACCAUUGUCAUCCGCUUGUGCUUAAAUUCACAAAGUCGAUACCAGGCUCGCGUUCUUCUUAGCUUUCUUGAAAACAGCGGUGAAACUUGU
Molecule: unclassified non-coding RNA, 377 nt
Filed under: Hevea brasiliensis (rubber tree)
Lineage: Eukaryota; Viridiplantae; Streptophyta; Magnoliopsida; Malpighiales; Euphorbiaceae
Source: RNAcentral